RNAcentral lists this ribosomal RNA (380 nucleotides) under uncultured euryarchaeote. RNAcentral's name for it is "bacterial SSU rRNA". It matches the Rfam family "Archaeal small subunit ribosomal RNA", at positions 471 to 851 of the family's 1478-position model. Lineage: Archaea; Methanobacteriati; Methanobacteriota. The record is from RNAcentral.
UAAUACCGGCGCCUCAAGUGGUAGUCGAUUUUAUUGGGCCUAAAACGUCCGUAGCCUGUUUGGUACAUUCGUGGGUAAAUCAACCAGCUCAACUGGUUGAAUUCUGCGAGCACGGCCAGACUUGGGACCGGGAGAGGUGUGGGGUACGCUCAGGGUAGGGGUAAAAUCCUGUCAUCCUGAGCGGACCACCUGUUGCGAAGGCGCCACACUAGAACGGAUCCGACGGUCAGGGACGAAGCCUAGGGGCACGAACCGGAUUAGAUACCCGGGUAGUCCUAGGUGUAAACGCUGUGGACUUGGUGUUGGGGAUUCUCCGAGGAUUCUCAGUGCCGAAGCGAAGGUGAUAAGUCCACUGCCUGGGGAGUACGGUCGCAAGGCUG